Molecule: ribosomal RNA, 445 nt
Filed under: uncultured bacterium
Lineage: Bacteria
Description: partial 16S ribosomal RNA
Rfam family: Bacterial small subunit ribosomal RNA
Source: RNAcentral
GUGAGGAAUAUUGGUCAAUGGGCGAGAGCCUGAACCAGCCAAGUCGCGUGAAGGAAGAAGGAUCUAUGGUUCGUAAACUUCUUUUGCAGGGGAAUAAAGUGCAGGACGUGUCCUGUUUUGUAUGUACCCUGAGAAUAAGGAUCGGCUAACUCCGUGCCAGCAGCCGCGGUAAUACGGAGGAUCCGAGCGUUAUCCGGAUUUAUUGGGUUUAAAGGGUGCGUAGGUGGUUUGAUAAGUCAGCGGUGAAAGUUUGCAGCUUAACUGUAAAAAUGCCGUUGGAACUGUCGGACUUGAGUGUAAAUGAGGUAGGCGGAAUGCGUGGUGUAGCGGUGAAAUGCAUAGAUAUCACGCAGAACUCCGAUUGCGAAGGCAGCUUACUAAGCUACAACUGACACUGAAGCACGAAAGCGUGGGGAUCAAACAGGAUUAGAUACCCGGGUAGUCC